CUAUAUUAUGGCUCUUUUAGAAUUUGUUUACCAAGUUUUCUGGUUUUCACCAAAAAACCCUC
Small nuclear RNA from Otolemur garnettii (small-eared galago), 62 nucleotides. Its record names the gene U7. It matches the Rfam family "U7 small nuclear RNA". Rfam says of the family: Animal histone pre-mRNAs are spliced by a different mechanism than nuclear pre-mRNAs and self-splicing introns. This processing involves the U7 snRNP, which contains only one RNA species: U7. Lineage: Eukaryota; Metazoa; Chordata; Mammalia; Primates; Galagidae. The record is from Ensembl.